Molecule: long non-coding RNA, 1300 nt
Filed under: Zalophus californianus (California sea lion)
Lineage: Eukaryota; Metazoa; Chordata; Mammalia; Carnivora; Otariidae
Description: lncRNA (ENSZCAG00015009069.1)
Source: RNAcentral
AGCCUGGCAGAGCGCACUGAAACCAAGGCCAAGGAAGGUGUCCAGUCUGGGGAGCGGGUGGACAGCAGAUUUCACCACCUUCACAAUCCUCCCCAGGGCUGGUCCUCCCCACGGGCCCUGGUGCUGGGGGCAGGGCACAGCUGCAGACCGAGGGAAUGCACAGUGUUGUGCAAAAGGCAGAGCCCCGGCAGGACGGCACGUCCUGGGUUUGCUCCUGGUCCUGCCACGGCUGUGCCUAUCAGCGGUUGGCGAGCGCAUCCGGUAGGCUGUGCGAGCUCUGCGGCCCCCAGCUCAGAGCCGGGAGCGGGGAAGGCUGCUGUCCUUCGGGGGCGGUUGGCUGAAGGAGGGUGGGCGGCGGAGCCAGGGCACCCGCUGCCCCACCCACCGCCGCCACUCCUCCUCCUCCCGGGGGCUCUCCGGUGGCCAAACGCACUUACCCCGCGCUCCGAGCAGCCGCGGAUCAGGCAGAGACGCUCCCGGGCGAGAGUCUGUUGUGCUUACUGUCUGCGGCAAGUCCAGGAGCUGAGCUACACCGGAAAGAGGGCGGAGGAGAGGCACCCCUCGGUGCUGUUUGAUGGUGCAGUGUGCUUCUCAGCCUCCGUCAGAGGCCACGGGCCCCAGCCCUUUAACCCUUUCCUGCCUGUCACCCUCCCCCACCGCGCUGGGGCUUUCCAUUUCCCCAGCCGCUCCGGGAGGAGACUUUCCUCCCCACCGCCCGGGCCUGGCGCCGGGGAGAAGGACCGCAGGUGGGGUGAGGGCAGGCCCCCGGAGCCCGGCAGGAGGAAAGGACGGAGGCAGAAGCUGAACGUGGCGCCCGGCGCUAGGAAGCCGAGCCCAGCAAGGGAGCGUGGUGGGCGGGUGGCCGCUCUCCUCCCUGCCACCGCCGUCCCCGCCUCUCUCCGGCCUCGAGCAGCCCUCUGCAGGGGGACAGAGGCGGCGGGGCGGCAGCCGCCACCCAGCAAGAAGGAGAAAGGAUGCUCUGAGUUCCCAAGUGGCGGUGACGGGCCCAGAGUCCCAGCCACAGAGAGGUCGGGACCCGAGGCUGGGCGGCGGUGGCGGCCAACGGGUGCCCUUUGGGCAUCUGCAGUCCACCGGAGCAGGGAAGUCCAGGUCUUGGCCCACAGUCAACCCAGCAGGUUGGGCAAGUUAACCAAGUGGAGCGCUGCCUGGGAAGACGGAGUUCCCACACCCCGGAGCCCCAGGGACGUCCAGGACCCAGGCCUAGCUGCUCCAGGAGUUGGGUCUGACUCAUCUUCCCAGUGAGCCUGCAGAGGCCCAGGAGCAAACACUGGAACCCAGG